GCCCCAUGGCCAAAUGGAUUAAGGCACCUGGCUUCGAACCAGGAGACUGGGAGUUCGAAUCUUCCCGGGGGCUCCA
RNAcentral lists this transfer RNA (76 nucleotides) under Gammaproteobacteria bacterium. Its description in RNAcentral is "tRNA-Arg". It matches the Rfam family "tRNA". From Rfam's summary of the family: Transfer RNA (tRNA) molecules are approximately 80 nucleotides in length. Their secondary structure includes four short double-helical elements and three loops (D, anti-codon, and T loops). Lineage: Bacteria; Pseudomonadati; Pseudomonadota; Gammaproteobacteria. The record is from RNAcentral.